CUACGGGCGGCACCAGUGGGGAAUAUUGCACAAUGGAGGAAACUCUGAUGCAGCAACGCCGCGUGGAGGAUGACACUUUUCGGAGCGUAAACUCCUUUUAUAUAGGAAGAAGAUGACGGUACUAUAUGAAUAAGCGCCGGCUAACUCCGUGCCAGCAGCCGCGGUAAUACGGAGGGCGCAAGCGUUACCCGGAAUCACUGGGCGUAAAGAGCGUGUAGGCGGAUUAAAAAGUCAGAAGUGAAAUCCUAUAGCUUAACUAUAGAACUGCUUCUGAAACUCUUAAUCUAGAAUGUGGGAGAGGUAGAUGGAAUUUCUGGUGUAGGGGUAAAAUCCGUAGAGAUCAGAAGGAAUACCGAUUGCGAAGGCGAUCUACUAGAACAUUAUUGACGCUGAGACGCGAAAGCGUGGGGAGCAAAAAGGAUUAGAUACCCGGGUAGUC
RNAcentral lists this ribosomal RNA (439 nucleotides) under uncultured bacterium. Its description in RNAcentral is "partial 16S ribosomal RNA". It matches the Rfam family "Bacterial small subunit ribosomal RNA", at positions 339 to 795 of the family's 1533-position model. The record is from RNAcentral.